AACGCACAUUGCGCUUCCCGGUCCUCUGGGGAGCAUACCUGUUUCAGAAUCGCACUUACCCUCCUCCCCUGGGAAGGUGGCAACUCUGGAGGCCGUCUUCGGGCGGCGCCGGACUGCCUCCUUUUCCAAGGAAGGGACUUUUGAGCGUUUUCCGCUGCGCUUCGGCGUGGUGGAAUCGCUUCAAUGCGAUGGGUAUUGGCAGAGAUAGCCUUUCACUAGGCAUCCGCCAUACAUGCCCGCAGAAUGCGAUAAAUCUAUUUGAACAUUCCUGCUGACUGUAUGCGGCAUUUCGGUUGAUAUCAUAAGUAGGUCUUCCAGGAGACCAACACAGAGACAGCUCUCGUGCAAUGUGCAUAUGAGCGACUCUUACUUUGAUCUGAAAUCAGGCAAGAAAACCCGCUGAACUUAA
RNAcentral lists this unclassified non-coding RNA (409 nucleotides) under uncultured fungus. RNAcentral describes it as "partial contains internal transcribed spacer 2 and large subunit ribosomal RNA". The record is from RNAcentral. Lineage: Eukaryota; Fungi.